Long non-coding RNA from Anguilla anguilla (European eel), 4210 nucleotides. RefSeq lists it as uncharacterized. The record is from RefSeq and is a predicted model, not a curated record. The transcript has 5 exons. NCBI's taxonomy places the organism in Eukaryota, Metazoa, Chordata, Actinopteri, Anguilliformes, Anguillidae.
UCGUCCAAUCGUACACCAGUGCAGAAAAAUGUUAGUCAGCAGUGCCGGUUACCUCCGUUUGCCUUCUCCCUUAUUGGUGGAGACUGUCUGCUUCAAGAGACUGGGGAAUCCUUGGAUUUCUGCGCUGUCCUAUUCCAACGACCAGUCCCCAAAAAACCAGAUCGUCCAAAAGGGCAGGACUACUGCUCGCUCGUUUUGUGGGGAGUUGGUUUUUCCUUCUUUCUUGCCCAGCCGAUUGGACCUUUCUCUGCACGAAGUCGAGGUGCUUCUGAAGCAGCAAGUAUGGUGCGUCCUCUCCUGGGUUGAAUACCCAGACACUGCAGUCCCGGAAGUGUCACUGAGGACAAUUAUGAUUCCAGCUUAAGCGUUCGGCUAAAACCAGCAAUGGAGGUUUCCCUAAGCAGUGGCUGCGGGGUACUGUUGCUGGCCAGAUACAGUACCUUUAAAUCAACAUUGCUGUCUCCAGACACCGGCUAAAUAUGUCUGCGGCCCAAACCAGCAAAAGAAAAAAAAAAAAAAAAACCGGCCUCCCUCUGCAUGCUUUCCUUCCAUCAUGUAUCUUCCGUGUGUUUUGAUUGAUUUUUAUUAACGUGGGUAGUCACAGCAUUGGGGAUAUUUUGCCCUUUGACGUACAUAUUUGUGGUCAGUUUAUCGCGAAGACGUAGAGCAGAUUUUAAGCGUUGUGCAUAAUGGUCACGGGGGGAAGGAUCGGCCUCCUUAGCUCCUGGCUCUCUAACAUGUCCGCCGCCAAAACCAACACACGAAGCAACAGGUGUCCCGCUCCUGCGCGCGUUUCCAGAACCAUCCGUCCCGGUCAGCUUCGAUGUGUGGGUAUUGGCGAGGCCAUGGUAUUGGGGACGUUUUGUACUUUUUCACAUUUGUAAAGAAUAACAUGUAGGUAUAUUAGGGACUCUAAGCCUUGAUGAUGCGCAGUUUUUUGGAUCAAACAUCAAAACCACACAAAUGCACACAAAUUCCCGAUGGACCAGACAAACCGUACUGCUCAUCUCUGUUUACAAACCCCACAAGUGGCUCUUGAAGGCCUAAAAGUCUUUGAGAAGAACGUCUUCCACUUACCACACCCAAACAGUUGGGUCAGUUUCUAUGUUUUAUUAUUAUUUUUUGCGUAUUCUUUACAGAGUUUUACUAAGGCUGAGAGUCCCCUCUUUUAAGUAAAGUACUAAUGUCUAGGUGUUUUUAUUUGUUUUUAAACUUUGCUAGUAUAAUUCUAUGUUAGCCAUGUAUGCCACUGUGUGUAGACUAGCUGUAGAAAUGCAUUGUUUCCUUGUGGUAAGUGACUGAGAUGCUGCCACGGAUUUGAGACACUGAUGAAUGGUGCUAUUUUGGACUUAAAAAAUCGGCUCCUUGGUAAGGUUGCUCCGAUGGUAUUUCUUUUUUCGUUUCUUUUUUCGUGUUUUAAGAAAGGUUUGGGUUCUUUGUUAGAUGGUCGUAACUUGGUGUGGAUUGACUUUGAUUUUCUGUUGCUUUCUGUGUGGCUUUCUCAUUGGGUGUGCGAUGGACAAAGAAAAAACAGCAAAAAGCAAAUGGCAGCUGCAAGAUCGAGCCUGAAAAAAAGUGGGGAUGGGAGCAAUCACAAAACUGCAGUCUUGGUACCAUUUCCCUUUAAUAGCUAGCAAUCCAAUAUAAUACAUUUUCAGCACUUUCUAAUUUUAUCAUUAUUUUGCCUUCAUGCCUGACCCAGUACUGAACCAGGAGUGUGUGAGUGUUUUCCCUCUUGGAUAGUCAAUCUAAUUUAACUAUUUCCAAUAAUUAGUGAGAUACUCUAACCAGUCAAGCUAUGUGGGAGGACUAGUACGGUAUUCAUAUGCAUGAAAUAUGAUGAACAAAUUCAAAUUCUUUGUAGUCGAGCUACAUGCAACAACACACUAGCUAUUAUUGUAAACACUGGUCAGAAUGAGUGGUUAUCGAUUGAAGUAUCUUUCAUACAGUUUACAUUUAAUUUCAUGUGUUUCUCCUUUAUUUUAGUGACCUUUGUAGCAUUCAUUUUUAUCUGCUAAGAUAAGUGCUUUUAUAGCCUUACCACAGCAUUCACUUAGAGAUGAUUUUUUUGGAGGUUGAAAGAUUAAUAUUUAUGUUGGCAUGGAAGCAUCAAUCGAGUAGUUUGCUAGCUACCUGUAUACGGUAAUGCAAUGAGUUUUAGGACUAAAAUUCCAAUUUUACUCAACUUUUAAAAGUUUGUGGUUUUCACAUCAUGUCACAUGAUCAUUUUCAAAUAUUCCUCCUGUAGUCACAGUAUGGUUGCAACUGUAGUGGUAUCAGUCUAUAGUGAUUUAAAAUCUUACAGUUAUUACAACAAUAGUUUUGUUUAAAAAGACAAGAUAUAUUAAAAUGACAAAUGUAAGGAGUGGUUACAUUGUACAAUAAAUAAAUGGAGCACAUCCAUAUGUUCAGCUUUUUAAAAAUGUUUCUUAAAAUGGUUUUUACACUAUGACACUGCAUAAGUAUGGAUAAUCUUCCCAUGAUGUCACACUUUGGGAUAUCCAUACGAUUCCAUAUCCAUAACCGAAACCAUGGCUACUAAUGUUACAGUAGUACCCCAUAACAGUGCCUGAUAUGCUAAACCUAAACUGUUACAUCAGGUAUGUUACAAUAUCUGUCAAAGGAUGUUACAGUCUCCAAAAUGAGAUGGAUAUGUAGCAUAAAGAUUAACAAUCAAAAGGGACAAUCUUUUCUCAUGUCUUAAAUGGGUUCUGCUGUUAUGCUUUAAUAGUAAUACUUUUAAAAAUGAAAAUAAUCACAAAUUAGGAGAAGAAAAAAUGCUUAUUUUUCACAACUAAAUUUAUAUUGAAGAAAUAUUGUUUAGCAGUUUUGUCUUUGUCUCCAUAAUCUGUACCCUCUGCUAUUGCAUUAUGAUAACCAACUUGAAAGCCCACAUUAGGUUAUUGUAGGUUGUCUUAUUUUACCCUGGUACAGAACUUUCUAGCUGUUUUUAUUUUAUCCCUUUUUGUAAUUCCUAUUUACUGCAUGUCUUGUUCUCUUUCUUUAAUUUUAUAUCUGAAAUUAAGACUUAUCCCUGUUAGAAUAGCAAUGUUAGCUGUUUUGUACAUAGCAAGUGACAGCAUUAAACAAGUUUGGCGUCAAGUCUGUUUACUAUAGGUAUAUAUACUGUUGAUAUAGACUACUAUAUUUACGACUGUGUAUAAUCAAUAAACACCAGCUUUGUAAGUAUUGCAAGUCCAGAUAUUUUUGUGUACUAAACAUGAUGUACCUUAUCUGGGGCCGUGGCUCCUGUAAUGUGAUUUGUAGGUGUGAAAAUGCAUGUGCAAACGAACAGUAAAACUCCAGUUGCAUUAACUGAGAUGAACUGAGUUUUCUCUCUUUGUGAUGGUUUUUGUGGCCAUUUGAGCCCAGCUGAUUGGGUUUUAUUAAAGUGUAAUUUGGUUAGCGUUCUGGAUUUGACACAUGAAGACAGCUACCUGCUGUACGUCUUUUGUGAAAUAGGUGUUAUUUGAGCCAUGUUUGAGCAACUAAAAUGAGUUAAAAAAAACAGUUGUUCCAAAGCUUGCUCUUGUUUAUUAGUUCAAUUAAUUCAGCCUUAAGAUUAGCUGUUCAAUCAAUAGUUUGUUGCCCACAGCUGUGGACUGAGCUGUUGAGUGAAUCAAGACCAACCCAAAUCAAUUAAGACAUGUCUUGAGGCAUGUAUUAACUGUUAAGGUGUAUUUAAGUCAUGUUUACAUAUUUUGAGAUUUGUUUUAGAGUAAUAGUUAUAUGUUCAGUACCUUUUUGAGAUAUCAAGUUUUAUCAUUUAUGUUACAUAUCCUAACAUCUAUGCUAAGUUAGAACUUGUUUACAACAGUAGUUGAAGGUUUUAAGGUAUGAACUUGUCCACGGACAGAGUACAGUCAAAUUAAAUCCAUCAAAUACUGAUCAGUAUUCUGUUGUUAAAUCAAACAAGCCUAAUUAAAUUGAAAAAGUUGGACAUCAGGACUAAAUUUAGACCUUGCUCUGGCCACUACAGUUUAUAUUGGUUUACUGGUAACACUUUGCUAUAUAUCUGUAUUUGAAGGUGUUGGAUUAAUGUGAUGCUAAUAGCUAAAUGGUUGUGAUUUUAUUGAAACGAAUCCCAUAAAAGGCUUGCAAUUAUCUCUGGACUUACAGUAUGUUAUUUCUAAUAGUAAUAAUAAAGCACUACAAGUAUACCAUGUAUUUUGUCAAUUGCAGUAGUUCAAUAAAUAUGCAAGGUCUUAAA